AUUUGGCGCAGUGGAAGCGCGCCGGGCUCAUAACCCGGAGGUCGCACGAUCGAAACGUGCAAUUGCUA
Transfer RNA from Trichoderma harzianum, 68 nucleotides. It matches the Rfam family "tRNA". From Rfam's summary of the family: Transfer RNA (tRNA) molecules are approximately 80 nucleotides in length. NCBI's taxonomy places the organism in Eukaryota, Fungi, Ascomycota, Sordariomycetes, Hypocreales, Hypocreaceae. The record is from Rfam.